UACAGAGGGUGCAAGCGUUGCUCGGAUUUACUGGGCGUAAAGCGUACGCAGACGGUGAGGAAGGUCGGAUGUGAAAGCCCUGGGCUCAACCCAGGAACUGCAUCCGAAACCCCCUCGCUAGAGUAUGGGAGAGGGAAGCGGAAUUCCUGGUGUAGAGGUGAAAUUCGUAGAUAUCAGGAGGAACACCAAUGGCGAAGGCAGCUCGCUGGGACGUGACUGACGCUGAGACGCGAAAGCGUGGGGAGCAAACAGG
This 253-nucleotide ribosomal RNA is filed under the name uncultured bacterium. RNAcentral describes it as "partial 16S ribosomal RNA". It matches the Rfam family "Bacterial small subunit ribosomal RNA", at positions 524 to 776 of the family's 1533-position model. The record is from RNAcentral.